This 200-nucleotide ribosomal RNA is filed under the name uncultured bacterium. RNAcentral describes it as "partial 16S ribosomal RNA". It matches the Rfam family "Bacterial small subunit ribosomal RNA", at positions 8 to 200 of the family's 1533-position model. The record is from RNAcentral.
AGAGUUUGAUCCUGGCUCAGGAUGAACGCUAGCGGCAGGCUUAAUACAUGCAAGUCGAGGGGCAUCGCAGUGUAGCAAUACAUGGGCGGCGACCGGCAAACGGGUGCGGAACACGUACGCAACCUUCCUUCAAGUGGGGAAUAGCUUUCGGAAACGAAAAUUAAUACCCCGUAAUACGGUUGAGAUGGCAUCAUCUUAUC